This 484-nucleotide ribosomal RNA is filed under the name uncultured bacterium. RNAcentral's name for it is "partial 16S ribosomal RNA". It matches the Rfam family "Bacterial small subunit ribosomal RNA", at positions 30 to 507 of the family's 1533-position model. The record is from RNAcentral.
AUUGAACGCUGGCGGCAGGCCUAACACAUGCAAGUCGAGCGGAUGCACGGAGCUUGCUCCUGGAUUCAGCGGCGGACGGGUGGGUAAUGCAUAGGAAUCUGCCUGUUUGUUUUGGCUAACGUCCUGACACGGGCGCUCAUACCCCAUACGUCCUUAGGGAGUACGUGGGGGAGCUUCGGACCUUCCGCUCUCACGUGAGCCGAGGUCGGAUUAGCUAGUUGGUGGGGUAAAGGCCUACCAAGGCGACGAUCCGUAGCUGGUCUGAGAGGAUGAUCAGCCACACUGGAACUGAGACACGGUCCAGACUCCUACGGGAGGCAGCAGUGGGGAAUAUUGGACAAUGGGCGAAAGCCUGAUCCAGCCAUGCCGCGUGGGUGAAGAAGGUCUUCGGGUUGUAAAGCACUUUUGGUGGGGAAGAAGGGCAGCAAGUUAAUACCCCGCUGUUCUGACGGUACCAAAAGAAUAAGCACCGGCUAACUUCGUG